GCGGAUUGGACGAUUUUGGAGUUGGAUCGGAGGUUUUGAAGGAUGGAGAAUCCAAAUAUAGCAAUGCCUUCAACUUUCCAUGGUCCAAAAUGAAGAUCUCUGAAGGUGGUGGAAAGAGAAGAGAGAGGGAGCGCUGGUUUGAAUAAAGGGAGUUAGGGUUUGAAGGGCCGGUGGCUCAGGGUUAUUUAAACCCCUGGGUACCCAUCGGAAGUUCCGAUGGACUGUCGGAAAUUCUGACAGGAGUUGAGAUUCUCCAGAGGGCCCCUGUCGAGACUUCUCGAAAACUUU
Molecule: long non-coding RNA, 288 nt
Filed under: Setaria viridis
Lineage: Eukaryota; Viridiplantae; Streptophyta; Magnoliopsida; Poales; Poaceae
Description: long non-coding RNA (SVIR_LNC003329)
Source: RNAcentral